Molecule: ribosomal RNA, 422 nt
Filed under: uncultured bacterium
Lineage: Bacteria
Description: bacterial SSU rRNA
Rfam family: Bacterial small subunit ribosomal RNA
Source: RNAcentral
GUUUGAUCCUGGCUCAGAGUGAACGCUGGCGGCAGGCCUAACACAUGCAAGUCGAGCGGCAGCGCGUCCGACCACCCUCGGGUGGUCGGAUGGCGGCGAGCGGCGGACGGGUGAGGAAUGCAUCGGAAUCUGCCUCGUUGUGGGGGAUAACGUAGGGAAACUUACGCUAAUACCGCAUACGACCUACGGGUGAAAGUGGGGGACCUUCGGGGCCUCACGCGAUGAGAUGAGCCGAUGCCGGAUUAGCUAGUUGGCGGGGUAAAGGCCCGACCAAGGCGACGAUCCGUAGCUGGUCUGAGAGGAUGAUCAGCCACACUGGAACUGAGACACGGUCCAGACUCCUACGGGAGGCAGCACGUGGGGAAUAUUGGACAAGUGGGGGCAACCCGUGAUCCAGCCAUGCCGCGUGUGUGAAGAAGGCC